UUCAUUCUCAUUCUGUUGCCUUAGGCCUUUAGCAGCAAAUAAGAAAAAAUACCUCCAUCUGCUAUAUAGAAACAUUUGUACAUAGGUACAGUUUUAUGGUUUGUUAACAAAAAUGCGUUGCAUUUUGUGCUGUUUAGCUGUGGUUUGACAUUGUUUUUCCAACCUAGCUGACAUUGUCAAGAAGAACCUUGCUUCUCCUUCAGGUACUAAGUACAGUACAUACUAAAUCUUGAUGCUACAAAUCCAGGAUUCAAUUACUAGACAGCAUUUUGUUUUCACCCAGCUUCCUCCACUCCUUCCCUACUUCAGAUUCCAUAAAGUAGCUUCAGUGGUAACACUCUACGCGGAGACAGUAUUGUUAGGGAAUCCUACGUGGCUGUGAAUUUUGCAGUAAGCAAUCAGAGCUUUGUUCUUUCUAAUUAAUAAAUAUACAGCUUGUAUCUUACUCUUCCAAUAUAAAUAUAUAUA
This 468-nucleotide long non-coding RNA is filed under the name Bos taurus (domestic cattle). RNAcentral describes it as "long non-coding RNA NONBTAT018673". Lineage: Eukaryota; Metazoa; Chordata; Mammalia; Artiodactyla; Bovidae. The record is from RNAcentral.